GAACGUUAUUAGUAGGAAAUGGCUAAUAAGUGACGGUACUUACCAGAAGGGACGGCUAACUACGUGCCAGCAGCCGCGGUAAUACGUAGGUCCCGAGCGUUAUCCGGAAUUAUUGGGCGUAAAGGGCACGUAGGCGGACAAAUAAGUUUGAUGUCAAAUAUGAUGGCUCAACCAUCAAGAGGCGUUGAAAACUGUUUAUCUAGAAUCUCGGAGAGGUAAGUGGAAUUCCAUGUGUAGCGGUGGAAUGCGUAGAUAUAUGGAGGAACACCAAUGGCGAAGGCAGCUUACUGGACGAAGAUUGACGCUGAGGUGCGAAAGCGUGGGUAGCAAACAGGAUUAGAUACCCUGGUAG
This 352-nucleotide ribosomal RNA is filed under the name uncultured bacterium. RNAcentral's name for it is "bacterial SSU rRNA". It matches the Rfam family "Bacterial small subunit ribosomal RNA", at positions 447 to 793 of the family's 1533-position model. The record is from RNAcentral.